Molecule: long non-coding RNA, 640 nt
Filed under: Anas platyrhynchos platyrhynchos (common mallard)
Lineage: Eukaryota; Metazoa; Chordata; Aves; Anseriformes; Anatidae
Description: lncRNA (ENSAPLG00000023362.1)
Source: RNAcentral
UGGGAGCUGGCGAGCCUGCCCUGCUGGUCCCGCCGGGGCUCCCAUCCUCUCUGCGUUCCCAUCCCACGGCACCCGAGCCGUUCCUCGCUGCUCCCCCGGGGCGUUUUGGCUCGCCCCCAGCCCUUUUCUCCCCGGCUGCGGGCUCCUGACAGCGCUCCCGUUUCUGCCCGCAGCGCCGCCUCGUCUCCUGCGCCAGGAAAGCCCGGCUGCUCCUCUUCCAGUUCUCCCAGCACCUGGAGCUCUGGAGGCUCGGCUCCACCAAUGAGACCGGUGAGCUGUCGGGGAAGGACGGCGAGGUCCUCCCUGUCUGCCGCAUGCCCGAGCACCUCCUGCAGCUCAACAGCAAGGGUCCCGAGCACAUCUACUGCAGCUGCGUCUCGCCCUGCGGCAGCUGGGUCGCCUACUGCACGGCCUCCCGCUUCCACCUCUACCGCGUGCAGCACGAGGGCGACGGCGUCAGCGUCAAGAAGGUGGGCACGGGACGGAGGGAAGGGCAGGGGGGGAGCCCCCGGGGGGGCACGGGGUGACUGCUGAUGCUGCCUUCCUCCUCAGGUCCCCGGCGUGCCCAAGCUGCUGCUCCCGGCGUACCAGCUGCAGUGCGCCUCGGACGCGAGCCGGCUGUUUGUGGGCUCUGAGCGAG